UGGUGGAGUGAUUUGUCUGCUUAAUUGCGAUAACGAACGAGGCCUUAACCUGCUAAAUAGCCAGGCCCGCUUUGGCGGGUCGCCGGCUUCUUAGAGGGACUAUCGGCUCAAGCCGAUGGAAGUUUGAGGCAAUAACA
This 137-nucleotide ribosomal RNA is filed under the name uncultured eukaryote. RNAcentral's name for it is "partial 18S ribosomal RNA". It matches the Rfam family "Eukaryotic small subunit ribosomal RNA", at positions 1299 to 1458 of the family's 1831-position model. The record is from RNAcentral.